UACGGGGGGGGCAAGCGUUGUUCGGAAUUACUGGGCGUAAAGGGCUCGUAGGCGGCCAACUAAGUCAGACGUGAAAUCCCCAGGCUCAACCUGGGAACUGCGUCUGAUACUGGAUGGCUUGAAUCCGGGAGAGGGAUGCAGAAUUCCAGGUGUAACGGUGAAAUGCGUAGAUAUCUGGAGGAAUACCGGUGGCGAAGGCGGCAUCCUGGACCGGCAUUGACGCUGAGGAGCGAAAGCCAGGGGAGCGAACCGG
RNAcentral lists this ribosomal RNA (253 nucleotides) under uncultured bacterium. RNAcentral's name for it is "partial 16S ribosomal RNA". It matches the Rfam family "Bacterial small subunit ribosomal RNA", at positions 524 to 776 of the family's 1533-position model. The record is from RNAcentral.